UCGAGAAUCUUUCGCAAUGCCCGAAAGGGUGACGAAGCGACGCCGCGUGCGGGAGGAAGGCCUUCGGGUUGUAAACCGCUGUCGGGAGUUAAGAAAUGCAAGGAUGUUAAUAGCGUUCUUGCUUGACUAAGGCUCCGGAGGAAGCCACGGCUAACUCUGUGCCAGCAGCCGCGGUAAUACGGAGGGUGCAAGCGUUAUCCGGAAUCACUGGGUUUAAAGGGUGCGUAGGCGGCUUAGUAAGUCAGUGGUGAAAGCCUGUGGCUUAACCAUGGAAUGGCCAUUGAUACUGCUGAGCUUGAAUGAGGUUGAGGUUGGCGGAAUGUGACAUGUAGCGGUGAAAUGCUUAGAUAUGUCAUGGAACACCGAUUGCGAAGGCAGCUGACUGGACCUGUAUUGACGCUGAGGCACGAAAGCGUGGGUAGCGAACAGGAUUAGAUACCCAUGUAGUCCCUGAGCGGGCUGGCAAGGCGCAU
RNAcentral lists this ribosomal RNA (473 nucleotides) under uncultured bacterium. RNAcentral's name for it is "bacterial SSU rRNA". It matches the Rfam family "Bacterial small subunit ribosomal RNA", at positions 355 to 825 of the family's 1533-position model. The record is from RNAcentral.